Molecule: long non-coding RNA, 1095 nt
Organism: Cimex lectularius (bed bug)
Lineage: Eukaryota; Metazoa; Arthropoda; Insecta; Hemiptera; Cimicidae
Exons: 3
Source: RefSeq, a predicted model, not a curated record
GUUUGAGCAUUUCACAGUGUUCGAUGUGGUAACUGUGAAAAUACUUCCUCCCAUUUGUCAUGGGGCCUUCUUUAACAUCUAAACUCCUCUAAACCUCACAUCCCAUUGGCAGAAAAAGCAAGUGUACAUGGAGCUGUUUUUAAAAACUCUGUUAAAACUAUUGGGUUGUCCGGAAAAUAAUGCAGGAGCAUUUCAUUCUUUGGGAAAAAUUCAAUUUUAGCAAGAUGACAACGCGUGAUUUUCGCGACAUUUCGUUUCACGAGUUUAAACUCGGUCGGAACGGUGCCCAAACGGCUAGAGGCAAAUAAGAUUUAUUGUUCUUCUUCUGCGGAUGUAAUUAAGUAUAUACCUUCACGAGGCUUGCUGAGUUGGAGUUGCUGCCUUCAACAAAACCCAAGUAGCAAGGAACUGCCAUUACAGAACGUUAAUGAUUUACUGUGGAACGCCUCCUGAUGAACCAUACAGCAUGGGGCGUACUACCCUGAAGUAGGCCAUCUCCAGAUUUGAGGCCAACCCUCACUUCAUCUGUAAAGAGGACUCCCCCCCCCAAUAUUUCAAUGUCCGAUUUACAUGUUCCCGUUCAAAUUGAAGCAUGGUCAUGUUGUGAGCUGUGGUAAGAAGAGGUCCACAAGCCGGGUGGCCGGCCCUGAGGUUAAUUUUAUUAGCCGUCUUCUUACUGUCCUGGAGGAAAUCGAAACAUUUAGGACUUGUCUUAUCAGAUUUUUUAUCUACUUUCUCCUAAUGCUGCGGCUGCCUGAUGACAGAUGAAUCUAUCGUCUCUCUUGUCUGUAGACCUAGAUCGACCCUUCUUGUAUGAAGAUCUGUUUCUCUGAAGCGUCGAAGCAACCUUCCCAUUGUUGGGUGAUUUGCACUCAGUCUUCUGGCGACUUUGCGGUGGCUGUAUCCUUCCUCUAAUAAUGUUAUGACCCUGACACUAUCAUACUCACUCAAAUGCCUGACUGGAGCCAUUGCAAAAGUUUUAAGAAUAAGAAUAAUAUCAAAUGAUAUCAACAAAGGAAAAGGAUUCGUUGAAAGCAAUCUUUAGGUGUGGCUGAAUGGAAUGGCUUCCUAAUUUUUGUGCAAAUGGGAUUAGUU